GGAGAGUUUGAUCCUGGCUCAGGACGAACGCUGGCGGCGUGCUUAACACAUGCAAGUCGAACGGUGACGAGGAGCUUGCGGGUCCGAUCAGUGGCGAACGGGUGAGUAACACGUGAGCAACCUGCCCCUCACUCUGGGAUAACAGUUGGAAACAGCUGCUAAUACCGGAUACGACACAGACAGGCAUCUGUACUGUGUGGAAAGUUUUUCGGUGAGGGAUGGGCUCGCGGCCUAUCAGUUUGUUGGUGGGGUAAUGGCCUACCAAGACGACGACGGGUAGCCGGCCUGAGAGGGCGACCGGCCACACUGGGACUGAGACACGGCCCAGACUCCUACGGGAGGCAGCAGUGGGGAAUUCUGGACAAUGGGCGAAAGCCUGAUCCAGCCAUGCCGCGUGCAGGAUGAAGCAUCUAUGGUGUGUAAACUGCUUUUGUACGGAACGAAACGGUCUGCCCUAAUACGGCGGGCUAAUGACGGUACCGUAAGAAUAAGCACCGGCUAACUACGUGCCAGCAGCCGCGGUAA
This 525-nucleotide ribosomal RNA is filed under the name uncultured bacterium. RNAcentral's name for it is "bacterial SSU rRNA". It matches the Rfam family "Bacterial small subunit ribosomal RNA", at positions 6 to 523 of the family's 1533-position model. The record is from RNAcentral.